RNAcentral lists this ribosomal RNA (237 nucleotides) under uncultured bacterium. Its description in RNAcentral is "partial 16S ribosomal RNA". It matches the Rfam family "Bacterial small subunit ribosomal RNA", at positions 118 to 351 of the family's 1533-position model. The record is from RNAcentral.
UGAGUAACCUGCCCUUAACUCUGGGAUAAGCCUGGGAAACUGGGUCUAAUACCGGAUAUGACUCCUCAUCGCAUGGUGGGGGGUGGAAAGCUUUUUUUGUGGUUUUUGGAUGGACUCGCGGCCUAUCAGCUUGUUGGUGAGGUAAUGGCUCACCAAGGCGACGACGGGUAGCCGGCCUGAGAGGGUGACCGGCCACACUGGGACUGAGACACGGCCCAGACUCCGUACGGGAGGCAG